RNAcentral lists this transfer RNA (75 nucleotides) under Clostridioides difficile CD49. RNAcentral's name for it is "tRNA-Met". It matches the Rfam family "tRNA". From Rfam's summary of the family: Transfer RNA (tRNA) molecules are approximately 80 nucleotides in length. Their secondary structure includes four short double-helical elements and three loops (D, anti-codon, and T loops). Further hydrogen bonds mediate the characteristic L-shaped molecular structure. tRNAs have two regions of fundamental functional importance: the anti-codon, which is responsible for specific mRNA codon recognition, and the 3' end, to which the tRNAs corresponding amino acid is attached (by aminoacyl-tRNA synthetases). tRNAs cope with the degeneracy of the genetic code in two manners: having more than one tRNA (with a specific anti-codon) for a particular amino acid; and 'wobble' base-pairing, i.e. permitting non-standard base-pairing at the 3rd anti-codon position. The record is from RNAcentral. RNAcentral also lists the same sequence under 3 other names. Lineage: Bacteria; Bacillati; Bacillota; Clostridia; Peptostreptococcales; Peptostreptococcaceae.
CGCGGGUGGAGCAGUUGGCAGCUCGUCGGGCUCAUAACCCGAAGGUCGUAGGUUCAAGUCCUGCCUCCGCAACCA